Molecule: long non-coding RNA, 249 nt
Filed under: Solanum tuberosum (potato)
Lineage: Eukaryota; Viridiplantae; Streptophyta; Magnoliopsida; Solanales; Solanaceae
Description: long non-coding RNA (STUB_LNC007425)
Source: RNAcentral
AAAAGGGAAAGCAAGGAUCCUCUCAAGUGGUAUAGUAGUAGGUGAUCCAGGCAAGUGGAAGAUAAUAAAAGAUGGUUCCAAUUACACAAACCCCACAUCCGCUAAAGAACAGCUUUGUUGUAAUAGCAGAUGAGUCGACAAUGUCAGCAGUUAACAGUCUCAACAACAGUAAGGCAAGUCCAAUGGCUAAUACAAACAAUAAUAACAAGUAUAAUGAAGUUCAAAGUGGCAAGGUUGUUAAUCAACAAC